GAUGAACGCUGGCGGCGUGCCUAAUACAUGCAAGUCGAGCGAACCACUUCGGAGGUGAGCGGCGAACGGGCGAGUAACACGUAGGUGAUCUGCCCAUCAGACGGGGACAACGAUUGGAAACGAUCGCUAAUACCGGAUAGGACGAUCGUUUAAAGGUGCUUCUGGCACCGCCGAUGGAUGAGCUUGCGGCGCCUUAGCGAGUUGGUAGGGUAAAGGCCUACCAAGGCGACGAUGCGUAGCCGACCUGAGAGGGUGAACGGCCACACGGGGACUGAGACACGGCCCAGACUCCUACGGGAGGCAGCAGUAGGGAAUCUUCGGCAAUGGGCGAAAGCCUGACCGAGCAACGCCGCGUGAAUGAUGAAGGCCGUCGGGUUGUAAAAUUCUGUUAUAAGGGAAGAACGACUUUAGUAGGAAAUGGCUAGAGUGUGACGGUACCUUAUGAGAAAGCCACGGCUAACUACGUGCCAGCCGCCGCCGUAA
RNAcentral lists this ribosomal RNA (483 nucleotides) under uncultured bacterium. RNAcentral's name for it is "partial 16S ribosomal RNA". It matches the Rfam family "Bacterial small subunit ribosomal RNA", at positions 28 to 523 of the family's 1533-position model. The record is from RNAcentral.